This is a long non-coding RNA of Nasonia vitripennis (jewel wasp), 1058 nucleotides long. RefSeq lists it as uncharacterized. The record is from RefSeq and is a predicted model, not a curated record. The transcript is spliced from 3 exons. NCBI's taxonomy places the organism in Eukaryota, Metazoa, Arthropoda, Insecta, Hymenoptera, Pteromalidae.
UGAGUUUUUCGAGUUUGCUCGAUUCGGAGUUUUUAUUUUUUCGUAAAGGCGAGUGUUCGAAGCUACGCGUUUUCGUUAUAAUCUCUUGAUGCCUCGUGCGAACGUGUGAGUGUAAAAAUUAACGCGAAAUUAAAGUGACUCAUAGACAACAUUGACAUUUAACUUGAUCAUACAUGGAAUACGUUUGUUUGUGCGUCUAAAAAUACUGGCGCGUCAGUUGAAUUUUUCAAUGAGAAAAUAUACCGGUGAGAGGAUGAAAAUUAGUUUGGAAUUUUUUUUAUAAUAAUAAUAAUAGUAGUAGAAAUCUCAUAAUGACUGAUAAGGCGGAUAACAGGUACCAGGCGUGAAAUAUGUCGAAUUGAGAGGGAUUUGCCAACUUAAAAACUAGAAAGAUUAUAUGAAAUCAUUUUCUCGCAAAAUCGAUAACCGCUCUACUCUUACUUCAACGCGACUGUCUCCAAAAUCCAACAACGCAAAAGAUCGGUGAAAAAUUGGCCGAGGAUGGGAUAGCGCUUCGAUUAGAAUGUUCGAGAGGAGAUGGUUUUCAGGAUUUUUUUAUGAUCGGUUUGAAAAGUUAUUGCAAGUAAUUAUGUGAUUUGUUAGUACGUUGGAGUGAUUUUAAAAUUUUUAUUCGAAAAUUUAUGCAGCUGUAAUCGUGUUAUCUUGGAUCUACGAAAUUCCGAUAAGCGAUGAAUAUACUUUAACUUUUGUAUCGCGUGGGUGUGCAGAGAUAAAGAAGAGACAAAGGAUUAUAAGAUCAAUAUUCGUCGGAAAAUGAAAUGCGCAAAUAGCUUUGGUGAAUUACCCGAGAAGACAGCUCAAUUAUUGAUCGGUAUUUCAGCUUUUGCGGAGUAAGAGAUGUAAGCCGAUAAACAAAAUUAUCAGAAGUAUAUUUAUACUUGACGUAAAAUGUGUCUAUAUGAUCGAAAUGUUAUAAUUAGCAGUUAUAUAAGUAAAAAAUAUUAACAAAAAAAAGUUGAAUUUCAUAAUACUAAACUACAACAAAUCUAUAACUCCAUACACCUCCAAGCUCGACUAUAUCGUUCAUCCGCUUCGUA